CAAGUGUCGUAAUUUCCUCAUUUGAAAGAUCUAAAGCCUUAUAAAUAUUUGAAUACAAAAAAUGAGGACCUCCCAAUUUCAUUGUAGGAUUUAGCAUUGCAGCAAGACCAUAAAUAGGAGGGAUAGGAAAAAAAUAUUUUUUAAACUUUUGUUUCAUUUCAUUUAUAGCAAGUUCAUACAAUUCCUAAGGCCAUAUGCUACUACUACGUUGCAUUAAUUGGGUUUCUAUAUUCAUAUGCUACUACUAAACUUUCGUACAUACAAUUCCAUCUAGUCGGGCAAGGUUUAGGAACCUUUCUUUCUCUAAGGCCAUAUUCAUCACAUUUUUUAAAAUACUCUCUAAGUCUACUUCUACGGUUUGAAUAAAAAAGCCAAUUAAGAGCCAUUCUAACCUUUUCAAUUUCUAUGUUUAAUAUUCGCAUACCAUCACCGACAAUUAAAUGAUAAAUAUGACAAAUACAUCUAACAUGGAAAAUAUUAGUAAAUGCAGGAUUUAGUGUUGCUGUAAGCAUGCCUAUAGCACUGGUGUUACUAGAAGCAUUAUCCAUUGAAAUUGCCAUUAUUUUAUCGCUAAAGCAAAAAUAUCUACAAAUAUCUGCAACAGUGUUAGCUAUAAACUUGCCUGUGUGACGCGAAUUAAUUAUUCUAUAUGCAAUUAUGCGUUUUU
Molecule: long non-coding RNA, 667 nt
Filed under: Nicotiana tabacum (common tobacco)
Lineage: Eukaryota; Viridiplantae; Streptophyta; Magnoliopsida; Solanales; Solanaceae
Description: long non-coding RNA (NTAB_LNC008619)
Source: RNAcentral